GAUGAACGCUGGCGGUAUGCUUAACACAUGCAAGUCGAACGGACUCUUCGGAGUUAGUGGCGGACGGGUGAGUAACGCGUGAGAAUCUGGCUUUGGGUUCGGGACAACCACUGGAAACGGUGGCUAAUACCGGAUGUGCCGAGAGGUAAAAGAGCAAUUGCCUGAAGAUGAGCUCGCGUCUGAUUAGCUAGUUGGUGAGGUAAAGGCUCACCAAGGCAGCGAUCAGUAGCUGGUCUGAGAGGAUGACCAGCCACACUGGGACUGAGACACGGCCCAGACUCCUACGGGAGGCAGCAGUGGGGAAUUUUCCGCAAUGGGCGAAAGCCUGACGGAGCAAUACCGCGUGGGGGAAGAAGGCUCUUGGGUUGUAAACCUCUUUUCUUAGGGAAGAACAAAAUGACGGUACCUAAGGAAUCAGCAUCGGCUAACUCCGUG
Molecule: ribosomal RNA, 435 nt
Filed under: uncultured bacterium
Lineage: Bacteria
Description: partial 16S ribosomal RNA
Rfam family: Bacterial small subunit ribosomal RNA
Source: RNAcentral